AGAGUUUGAUCCUGGCUCAGGACGAACGCUGGCGGCACGCUUAACACAUGCAAGUCGAACGAGAGAAGAGGAGCUUGCUUUUCUGAUCUAGUGGCGGACGGGUGAGUAACACGUGAGCAAUCUGCCUUUCAGAGGGGGAUACCGAUUGGAAACGAUCGUUAAUACCGCAUAACAUAAUUGAACCGCAUGAUUUGAUUAUCAAAGAUUUAUCGCUGAAAGAUGAGCUCGCGUCUGAUUAGCUAGUUGGCAAGGUAACGGCUUACCAAGGCGACGAUCAGUAGCCGGGCUGAGAGGUUGAUCGGCCACAUUGGGACUGAGACACGGCCCAGACUCCUACGGGAGGCAGCAGUGGGGAAUAUUGCACAAUGGAGGAAACUCUGAUGCAGCGAUGCCGCGUGAGGGAAGAAGGUUUUAGGAUUGUAAACCUCUGUCUUCAGGGACGAAAAAAGACGGUACCUGAGGAGGAAGCUCCGGCUAACUACGUGCCAGCAGCCGCGGUAAUACGUAGGGAGCGAGCGUUGUCCGGAAUUACUGGGUGUAAAGGGAGCGUAGGCGGGAUCGCAAGUCAGAUGUGAAAACUAUGGGCUUAACCCAUAAACUGCAUUUGAAACUGUGGUUCUUGAGUGAAGUAGAGGUAAGCGGAAUUCCCAGUGUAGCGGUGAAAUGCGUAGAUAUUAGGAGGAACAUCAGUGGCGAAGGCGGCUUACUGGGCUUUAACUGACGCUGAGGCUCGAAAGCGUGGGGAGCAAACAGGAUUAGAUACCCUGGUAGUCCACGCCGUAAACGAUGAUUACUAGGUGUGGGGGGACUGACCCCUUCCGUGCCGCAGCAAACGCAAUAAGUAAUCCACCUGGGGAGUACGACCGCAAGGUUGAAACUCAAAGGAAUUGACGGGGGCCCGCACAAGCAGUGGAGUAUGUGGAUUAAUUCGAAGCAACGCGAAGAACCUUACCAGGUCUUGACAUCGUAUGCAUAGCUCAGAGAUGAGUGAAAUCUCUUCGGAGACAUAUAGACAGGUGGUGCAUGGUUGUCGUCAGCUCGUGUCGUGAGAUGUUGGGUUAAGUCCCGCAACGAGCGCAACCCUUACUGUUAGUUGCUACGCAAGAGCACUCUAGCAGGACUGCCGUUGACAAAACGGAGGAAGGUGGGGAUGACGUCAAAUCAUCAUGCCCCUUAUGACCUGGGCCUCACACGUACUACAAUGGCUGUCAACAGAGGGAAGCAAAGCCGCGAGGUGGAGCGAACCCCUAAAAGCAGUCUUAGUUCGGAUUGUAGGCUGCAACCCGCCUACAUGAAGUCGGAAUUGCUAGUAAUCGCAGAUCAGCAUGCUGCGGUGAAUACGUUCCCGGGCCUUGUACACACCGCCCGUCACGCCAUGGGAGUCGGUAACACCCGAAGCCUGUAGUCUAACCGCAAGGAGGACGCAGUCGAAGGUGGGAUUGAUGACUGGGGUGAAGUCGUAACAAGGUA
RNAcentral lists this ribosomal RNA (1470 nucleotides) under metagenome. RNAcentral's name for it is "bacterial SSU rRNA". It matches the Rfam family "Bacterial small subunit ribosomal RNA". The record is from RNAcentral.